GAAUAUUGAGAAGAUCUGUCCUUAGUACGAGAGGACCGGGAUGGACAAAACUCUGAUGUACCAGUUGUCACGCCAGUGGCACAGCUGGGUAGUCACGUUUGGCAUAGAUAACCGCUGAAAGCAUCUAAGCGGGAAACUAGCUUCAAGAUAAGUAUUCUAAGAGGAAGCUUCGAGAACAGGAGCUGGAUAGGUUGGGGGUGUACGCGCAGUAAUGUGUUUAGCUGACCAAUACUAAUCGAACGAAAUUUUAAUCGG
Fusobacterium necrophorum subsp. funduliforme 1_1_36S is the source of this 255-nucleotide non-coding RNA. The record is from Rfam. Lineage: Bacteria; Fusobacteriati; Fusobacteriota; Fusobacteriia; Fusobacteriales; Fusobacteriaceae.